This 253-nucleotide ribosomal RNA is filed under the name uncultured bacterium. RNAcentral describes it as "partial 16S ribosomal RNA". It matches the Rfam family "Bacterial small subunit ribosomal RNA", at positions 524 to 776 of the family's 1533-position model. The record is from RNAcentral.
UACGUAGGUGGCAAGCGUUAUCCGGAAUUACUGGGCGUAAAGCGCACGCAGGCGGUCUUUUAAGUUUGACGUGAAAGCUCUCGGCUUAACUGGGAGAGGUCGUUGAAGACUGGAAGGCUUGAGGCAAUGAGAGGGGUGUAGAAUUCCCGGUGUAGCGGUGGAAUGCGUAGAGAUCGGGAAGAACAUCAGUGGCGAAGGCGGCCUGCUGGGCUGUUGCUGACGCUGAGGCGCGACAGCGUGGGGAGCAAACAGG